UAUAGGGGAAAAACUUAUUUUUAUUUUUCUUCUGCUUCAUUUUGAAAAUAAACCAAAACUUGUAGUUAGAAUGAAUGCCAACAUACAUGAAUUGUUCUUAGAGAACACUGAAUUGAAGAGAUACAACAAUAGAUGAGACAGGCUGCAAGCAGCAACAGAAUGUUAAUAUAAACAGAACUACAGAUGGGUGUAUAACAACGUAAACCUCUCAAGUAAAGACUAUCAAAAUACUUCACAUUAUCACUGCAUAACCAACAAAUACAAGAUAAAUAAUAUGGCUAAAAUGUGUUUUAUCUCAACCAAAAAGAAUGUCACAAUCAUAAAACAUAACACUAUGGUUUUGAGUAUUUGAAUGCCAAUUAAUUUAGUUUCAGUUUAAAGUAAACCAGGGGGAAAAUAUGUCUGAACCCAUAAAUUUUGAAUAAAAAAAGAUAUACAAAAUACAAUUUAAACAUAGUUAUUUUUAAUAAAAAAAUUUUGAAUAACAUUAACAAUAUCCAACAGAAUAUGGCAUAUACUGGCAAAUUAAAAACUCAAAAAGUCACACAAAAAAAAAAAAAAAAAAAAG
Biomphalaria pfeifferi is the source of this 568-nucleotide non-coding RNA. The record is from the annotation of a GenBank genome assembly. Lineage: Eukaryota; Metazoa; Mollusca; Gastropoda; Planorbidae.